AAAGGGUGAGAUUCACCCCAAACUGCGCUGCGAAGCAAAUAAUGUCUCAGUGCUCCUGUGCUAUUUGCACAUAUUUAAUUAUAAGUAUUCCAGUGUGUUCUUG
Molecule: long non-coding RNA, 103 nt
Organism: Etheostoma spectabile (orangethroat darter)
Lineage: Eukaryota; Metazoa; Chordata; Actinopteri; Perciformes; Percidae
Exons: 3
Source: RefSeq, a predicted model, not a curated record